GGCAGGGUAGCUUAGUGGUAAGAGCUCUGAAUUUUUGAGUCAAGGGACUUGGGUUGGAAUCCCAGUUCUACUA
RNAcentral lists this transfer RNA (73 nucleotides) under Monodelphis domestica (gray short-tailed opossum). It matches the Rfam family "tRNA". From Rfam's summary of the family: Transfer RNA (tRNA) molecules are approximately 80 nucleotides in length. Their secondary structure includes four short double-helical elements and three loops (D, anti-codon, and T loops). The record is from Rfam by way of RNAcentral. Lineage: Eukaryota; Metazoa; Chordata; Mammalia; Didelphimorphia; Didelphidae.